This is a long non-coding RNA of Ursus thibetanus thibetanus, 3740 nucleotides long. NCBI's taxonomy places the organism in Eukaryota, Metazoa, Chordata, Mammalia, Carnivora, Ursidae. The record is from Ensembl.
GACUGCGCCACCCAGGCGCCCCAAGAAAGAGUCUUAAGCAGACAGUCUGCUGAGUGCAAACUCCUAUGGGAAGCUCAAUUCCAUGGCCCUGAGAUCAUGACCUGAGCUGAAAUCAAGAGUCAGUUGCUUAACCGACUGCACCACCCAGGGGCCCCACUAUUUCUCAAUAUUUUAAAUCUAUAUCAAGAAAACAAAAAGCAUUAUUGGCAAUAUCAGGUACAUUAUAAAAAUGGGGAGAGAGGCGCCUGAGGGACUGAGUUGGUUAAGCGUCCGACUCUUGAUUUCUGCUUAGGUCUUGUCAUGAGUUCAAGCCCCACACUGGGCUCCAGGCAGGGCAUGGAGCCUACUUAAAAAAAAACAAAAACAGAAAACGGGGGCGGGAGGGGGAGACAAACAUGUUGCCAGAUACCGAGGUAAAUCUUUUAGAACAGUGCCUUCCAAACAUUAAUGUGCAUAUGAAACACCGGGGAAUCGUGUCAAAAUGCAAAUUCAGAUUCAGAAGCUCUGCAGGGAGGACCAAGGAUGUGCCUUUCGUACAGGCUCCCAGGUGUUGGCCAGAGUGCAGCAGGCUGUGGGCCACGAGCUGAAUAGACAGUCCUUAGAAGACUUUGUCUGGCCUUUAGAAAUAUUGAAACAUAUAAAAGUGUAGAAAGAAGACAAAGAAAUCAUUUUGUGUUCUUCCUACCCCUGAUGUGUCAUGGCGACGUGCUGGCCUAUCUGUGUUCUCUUCAUCUGUAGAGACAGCAUUUCUCUUCCCUACACUGAUUCAGUAAGAGAAAAUGAUUACGCAUAGACAAGCCGCGUAUGGGAUGCAGAGGAUAUAAAACUAAGUGGAAACCCAGUGCGUCUGGUCAGUGAGGCAUCCGUGAGCAUGAAUGUGAAGGAACAAAGGACAGGCAGAAGGGCAAGAGGAGUUUCUGGGGAAGACCAUGGUAGCCAAACACCGUGGCAGGUGUCUGCAGAAGCAACAGCAUUGGAGAGCAAGGCUCGCUUGCUUCUGAUACACCGGACUCCCUGGGCUCAGUGGAGGCAGGCUGGCCUCAGUGCACGGCUAAGUGAUGGGCUGUCACUUGCAUGCCUCCACACCAAAUAACGGGAACAUGCCGGUGAGGCAGCAUUCACGCUGGGCCCUCAGGCUUGCGUAAGAGAAAGCCUUGCAUCCAAUCUCGAUGCUUAGAUGCACGCAUUAUCCUGCCCUCCGUACCAAAAGCAAGGGCUGCACCUCACGUCGGUGCCCAGAAGUUUCCAGGGCUGCGUCUCUCAGAAAACCCGCACCCUCUCACUGUGUCCGGCCUGGGACAGAGCUCCUUUUUUCUAGGCAGGUGUGGACACCUAGAGAUCAUGCUUCUUGCACAACCUGCAAGUUCACCACGCUCAUAUAGUUUUGAUUUUACAAAACAAGUUGGAUUACUAUUUAAUUUUACUUUAGAAAUCCUCAAAGGCAAAGAAGAAAGGAAAAGAAAGGUAUAAUGUCUUUACCUGAGGUAGUGAUUUGUUCCUGUCUCACAAGAUUCUGAAUAUUUUUCCUUUCAUCCUCCUCUGCGACCCCCCCUUCUGUUUCUCUCUCUGGUAAGUGUGAUGGGGGAAGUACAGAAGGGGGUGGAAAUAGGGCUAUACUUGUAUAUAGUGUUAUAGUCUGUAUUUCUGAAUAAAUAUUCUAUUUUUGAACUUUACCCGUGCAUUGGAAACAUAAUUCUUAACAGCUGCAUAAUAAGUUCAUAUCGCACAGGCGCCAUGACCGACUUACCUCUUUUACACCGGGCACCUGGAUCCCUUUCACUUUCCAACACUGUGCUGGAGAUCCUUCUGUGGUGUGACUGCGAUCCCACGGGCUGUUUAGCCACAGCCCCCGACAUGCGUUUGUAGAAGGGACACUCUGAGCUUCAUGACUACAUGCAAGAAGAUACCCAGAAAACCGUGAGAUAUUGACAUUAGCCUUGGCAUCAUGACCAAGACUGAAUAAUGAAUCAGACGGACUGGUGCCCAAAUCAGAUAUAUUACGUAGUUUAGGUCCAAAUAUGUGUUUCGACAGGUUUGCACGAUCAUGUCACAGUAAUAUCUACUUUAAAAAAAACCAGCUUCAAGAACUCUGAUCUUCUCAACCCAGUAUAGAUGCAGCAAUCAGGAUGACAAUUGUCUAUGAUGAAGGGAAACAUUUAGUGCAUGAGAAAAUGGCAGGGUUUGUUUAGAAGUUGGGAAGAGGAGAUAUUCAGAUUUAGUGAGCUGGCAGGUCUGAUGGCUGCAAGCUAUUUCUGAGUCAUCUAUGAAAAGCGGAGGAACAUCCAUCCCUUCCAACUCAUUAAGCAAGCUAAGCCUUCAAUGAUCAACUUUCCCCAUCCCAAAUGGUUCAAGAGAUUGUAUUCACUGGGGCGCCUGGGUGGCACAGCGGUUAAGCAUCUGCCUUCGGCUCAGGGCGUGAUCCCGGCGUUAUGGGAUCGAGCCCCACAUCAGGCUCCUCUGCUAUGAGCCUGCUUCUUCCUUUCCCACUCCCCCUGCUGUGUUCCCCUCUCUCGCUGGCUGUCUCUAUCUCGGUCAAAUAAAUAAAUAAAAUCUUUAAAAAAAAAAAAAGAGAUUGUAUUCACACCUAACGUUUUAACGUUUCUUUCGUUUUUCUUCAUGGAUAUAAUAGGUCAUUGGCCCAUGUGAUAACAUAUUGUGUAGAUGUCUCCCCUUUGCUGAACCACCUGGAAAAUACGGACCAUGGCGGGAUGCCCAAAGAUGGCUUGAACCGUUAGCCUGCCUUAUCUUUGAAUUGUCCUCAAUGUAACUGAGAAAAGGGUUUCCACACACCUCCAGAAACUCGAGACUCUUGGGAAAACGAGGCAUACAUAGCGUCAACGCAAGAUAAGUCUGCUCAUUCAUCUGAUGUCCAUAUCUGCUGACAACCAGACGGUCAGGACCCAACUCCUGGAUGAAGACAAAGCACACAAUAAAAACGUAAAGAUGAAUCAGGACGCUAUCUAUCAGAAAACUCUGAACAAUUCGGUGUCCCUAUGUACCCGUAUUCAGUAGCUUGCGAAGCUCGGAUCGAGAACGUAGGUCGACACUUGUUGAGAGAUAAGCCAAAGAGAGAUUCACUGGUCUAGUAUUAUCCUUCACUCAUAAAACACACACAUUGAUUGGUAGAAACCCAUUUCUCCCUUCUCUCACACCCCUGCCGCAUCCACGAAACGAAAAUUUGAGUAAUGUCUUAUCGUGUGGGCUUUUAUGACUGGCAGAAGAGGAGAUGAAUAAAUAAUUCAUUUACAAAAUGGCAAAAACUCGACUCGAACAGGAAUCCAUGUUAUAUUCUCUAGAGAAGGCAGGCAUGUAGCAUCCUACGGUCUCUCAAUUAACACAUUCUCGAAGGUCCAGCAAGUGUGUAUCUGUAACACCCCAAACAACUCUGUUGACUCAGAAAGACUUCUCACAGGUUUAUGUCAAGCACCAACGACCUCAAGGGAAGCACUUUGCCUUUUUUUUUUUUUUUCAGUCUCCAGACAUUUCCACACAGGAAUAUUUCCUUUGCAACCACAGACCUUGAUCGAGCCACUGUUUUCAGAGUUUUCUCUCUCUGGUAUUUGGUGAAGCAGUUUGCCACAAAGGAAGAAUGACAGAGUAGAUUUUGAGUGUCUCCCUCUAUUUUUUUAAAAAGAUUUUAUUUAUUUGACAGAGAGAGACAGCCAGCGAGAGAGGCAACACAAGCAGGGGGAGUGGGAGAGGAAGAAGCAGGCUCAUAGCGGAGGAGCCUGAUAUGAGGC